AGCAGCUUGGCGCAGUAGAUAGCGUGUUGCGCUCAUAACUUAAAGGUCCCUUGAUCGAAACAAGGAGCUGCUA
RNAcentral lists this transfer RNA (73 nucleotides) under Perkinsus olseni. It matches the Rfam family "tRNA". Rfam says of the family: Transfer RNA (tRNA) molecules are approximately 80 nucleotides in length. Their secondary structure includes four short double-helical elements and three loops (D, anti-codon, and T loops). Lineage: Eukaryota; Perkinsozoa; Perkinsida; Perkinsidae. The record is from Rfam by way of RNAcentral.